Molecule: unclassified non-coding RNA, 255 nt
Filed under: Nemania sp.
Lineage: Eukaryota; Fungi; Ascomycota; Sordariomycetes; Xylariales; Xylariaceae
Description: partial internal transcribed spacer region
Rfam family: Eukaryotic small subunit ribosomal RNA (bases 1-46)
Source: RNAcentral
AAGUCGUAACAAGGUCUCCGUUGGUGAACCAGCGGAGGGAUCAUUACAGAGUUAUCAAAACUCCCAAACCCAUGUGAACAUACCUCGCGUUGCCUCGGCAGGUGGCGCCCCGCCCUGUGAGGGCCUACCCUGUAGGAGCUCACCCGGUGGUCGCCCCUGCCGACGGCCCACGAAACUCUGUUUUUUUAUAGCAUUAGACCUCUGAAAAGAUAACCAAAUAAGUUAAAACUUUCAACAACGGAUCUCUUGGUUCUG